UUUACGGAGAGUUUGAUCCUGGCUCAGAAUGAACGCUGGCGGCGUGCCUCAGACAUGCAAGUCGUACGAGAAAUCAUGUCUUCGGGCAUGAGAGUAAAGUGGCGCACGGGUGAGUAACGCGUGGGUAAUCUGCCCUAAAGUCCGGGAUAACAUUUCGAAAGGGAUGCUAAUACCGGAUAAGACCACGGAAACUUCGGUUUCAGCGGUAAAAGGUGGCCUCUGCAUGCAAGCUACCGCUUGAGGAUGGGCCCGCGUACUAUUAGCUAGUUGGUGGGGUAAUGGCCCACCAAGGCCACGAUUGUUAGCUGGUCUGAGAGGAUGAUCAGCCACACUGGAACUGGAACACGGUCCAGACUCCUACGGGAGGCAGCAGUCGGGAAUUUUGCGCAAUGGGGGCAACCCUGACGCAGCAACGCCGCGUGAGUGAUGAAGGUCUUCGGAUCGUAAAGCUCUGUCAAGCGGGAAGAAAGGUUUUAAGGCCAAUACCCUUAAGAUUUGACGGUACCGCUGAAGGAAGCACCGGCUAACUCCGUGCCAGCAGCCGCGGUGAUACGGAGGGUGCAAGCGUUAUUCGGAAUUAUUGGGUGUAAAGCGCGUGUAGGCGGUUUGGUAAGUCAGGUGUGAAAGCUUCGGGCUUAACCCGGAAAGUGCAUUUGAAACUGCCAGACUUGAGUGCGGGAGAGGAAGGUGGAAUUCCCAGUGUAGAGGUGAAAUUCGUAGAUAUUGGGAGGAACACCGGUGGCGAAGGCGACCUUCUGGACCGCCACUGACGCUGAGACG
Molecule: ribosomal RNA, 780 nt
Filed under: Deltaproteobacteria bacterium
Lineage: Bacteria; Pseudomonadati; Myxococcota; Myxococcia
Description: bacterial SSU rRNA
Rfam family: Bacterial small subunit ribosomal RNA
Source: RNAcentral